UCAGUGACCGAGUGGAUAACGCGAUGGCGUUUGAAGCGAGGGUACUGGG
This 49-nucleotide transfer RNA is filed under the name Schistosoma mansoni. Lineage: Eukaryota; Metazoa; Platyhelminthes; Trematoda; Strigeidida; Schistosomatidae. The record is from RNAcentral.